CUCAGGUGUCGUUGGGUAGGGGAGCGUUCUGUAAGCCUGCGAAGGUGGCCUGUGAGGGUUGCUGGAGGUAUCAGAAGUGCGAAUGCUGACAUAAGUAACGAUAAAGCGGGUGAAAAGCCCGCUCGCCGGAAGACCAAGGGUUCCUGUCCAACGUUAAUCGGGGCAGGGUGAGUCGACCCCUAAGGCGAGGCCGAAAGGCGUAGUCGAUGGGAAACGGGUUAAUAUUCCCGUACUUGGUGUUACUGCGAAGGGGGGACGGAGAAGGCUAUGUUGGCCGGGCGACGGUUGUCCCGGUUUAAGCGUGUAGGUGUGUGUUCCAGGUAAAUCCGGUUCACUUUAACACUGAGGCGUGACGACGAGGCACUACGGUGCUGAAGCAACAAAUGCCCUGCUUCCAGGAAAAGCCUCUAAGCAUCAGGUAACAUCAAAUCGUACCCCAAACCGACACAGGUGGUCAGGUAGAGAAUACCAAGGCGCUUGAGAGAACUCGGGUGAAGGAACUAGGCAAAAUGGUGCCGUAACUUCGGGAGAAGGCACGCUGACACGUAGGUGAAGUGAUUUACUCAUGGAGCUGAAGUCAGUCGAAGAUACCAGCUGGCUGCAACUGUUUAUUAAAAACACAGCACUGUGCAAACACGAAAGUGGACGUAUACGGUGUGACGCCUGCCCGGUGCCGGAAGGUUAAUUGAUGGGGUCAGCGCAAGCGAAGCUCCUGAUCGAAGCCCCGGUAAACGGCGGCCGUAACUAUAACGGUCCUAAGGUAGCGAAAUUCCUUGUCGGGUAAGUUCCGACCUGCACGAAUGGCGUAAUGAUGGCCAGGCUGUCUCCACCCGAGACUCAGUGAAAUUGAACUCGCUGUGAAGAUGCAGUGUACCCGCGGCAAGACGGAAAGACCCCGUGAACCUUUACUAUAGCUUGACACUGAACAUUGAGCCUUGAUGUGUAGGAUAGGUGGGAGGCUUUGAAGUGUGGACGCCAGUCUGCAUGGAGCCGGCCUUGAAAUACCACCCUUUAAUGUUUGAUGUUCUAACGUGGACCCGUGAUCCGGGUUGCGGACAGUGUCUGGUGGGUAGUUUGACUGGGGCGGUCUCCUCCUAAAGAGUAACGGAGGAGCACGAAGGUUGGCUAAUCCUGGUCGGACAUCAGGAGGUUAGUGCAAUGGCAUAAGCCAGCUUGACUGCGAGCGUGACGGCGCGAGCAGGUGCGAAAGCAGGUCAUAGUGAUCCGGUGGUUCUGAAUGGAAGGGCCAUCGCUCAACGGAUAAAAGGUACUCCGGGGAUAACAGGCUGAUACCGCCCAAGAGUUCAUAUCGACGGCGGUGUUUGGCACCUCGAUGUCGGCUCAUCACAUCCUGGGGCUGAAGUAGGUCCCAAGGGUAUGGCUGUUCGCCAUUUAAAGUGGUACGCGAGCUGGGUUUAGAACGUCGUGAGACAGUUCGGUCCCUAUCUGCCGUGGGCGCUGGAGAACUGAGGGGGGCUGCUCCUAGUACGAGAGGACCGGAGUGGACGCAUCACUGGUGUUCGGGUUGUCAUGCCAAUGGCACUGCCCGGUAGCUAAAUGCGGAAGAGAUAAGUGCUGAAAGCAUCUAAGCACGAAACUUGCCCCGA
This 1607-nucleotide ribosomal RNA is filed under the name Salmonella enterica. RNAcentral describes it as "partial 23S ribosomal RNA". It matches the Rfam family "Bacterial large subunit ribosomal RNA", at positions 1213 to 2802 of the family's 2925-position model. The record is from RNAcentral. Lineage: Bacteria; Pseudomonadati; Pseudomonadota; Gammaproteobacteria; Enterobacterales; Enterobacteriaceae.